This 287-nucleotide unclassified non-coding RNA is filed under the name Yarrowia sp. KY-827. RNAcentral's name for it is "partial contains ITS1, 5.8S ribosomal RNA and ITS2". The stretch from base 60 to 208 matches the Rfam family "5.8S ribosomal RNA". Rfam says of the family: 5.8S ribosomal RNA (5.8S rRNA) is a component of the large subunit of the eukaryotic ribosome. It is transcribed by RNA polymerase I as part of the 45S precursor that also contains 18S and 28S rRNA. The record is from RNAcentral. Lineage: Eukaryota; Fungi; Ascomycota; Dipodascomycetes; Dipodascales.
UUGAUUUGAAUUAUUUUUGUGGGGAUUAUAUUUGUUAAAGUGUCAUCUAAUUUAAUUAUAACUAUCAACAACGGAUCUCUUGGCUCUCACAUCGAUGAAGAACGCAGCGAACCGCGAUAUUUUUUGUGACUUGCAGAUGUGAAUCAUCAAUCUUUGAACGCACAUUGCGCGGUAUGGUAUUCCGUACCGCACGGGUGGAAGAGCGUGUUUCCUUUGGGAUCGCAUUGCUUUCUUGAAAUGUAUUUAAUACUUCAUUAUUCAAUCAUUUCACCUCUUUCAUCCGAGAU